Molecule: ribosomal RNA, 379 nt
Filed under: Panesthia sp. 2 FL-2017
Lineage: Eukaryota; Metazoa; Arthropoda; Insecta; Blattodea; Blaberidae
Description: partial 16S ribosomal RNA
Source: RNAcentral
CUUCUCUUGAUUUAAAUAUGAGAUAUGACCUGCUCAAUGAAUAAUAUUUUUAAAUGGCCGCGGUAUAUUAACCGUGCAAAGGUAGCAUAAUCAUUAGUCUUUUAAUUGUAGGCUGGAAUGAAUGGUUGGACGAGAUAAUAACUUUCUUAGACUUAUUGAUUUGAAUUUAAUUAUUGUGUCAAAAAGCACAAAUUUUUUUAUGGGACGAGAAGACCCUAUAGAGUUUAAUAYUURAUUUAUUUUUUAAUAUUUGUUGUUUUGGAAAUUGAAUUAAAUAUUUUGUUGGGGUGAUGUGAAGAUAAAAUUAACUCUUUAUAUUAUUUGUUUAUUGAUUAAUAUACUUUUGAUCCAUUUUUAGUGAUUGAAAGACUAAAUUACC